Molecule: long non-coding RNA, 688 nt
Filed under: Olea europaea subsp. europaea
Lineage: Eukaryota; Viridiplantae; Streptophyta; Magnoliopsida; Lamiales; Oleaceae
Source: RNAcentral
UCGAACCUGAAUUAGAACUAGUUAAAUCGAACAUCAACAUAAUGCUUAAUGAACAAGUGAGAAAAAAACAAUUUCAUCUUCUUAAAUUCUUCAGUGAAUUUUCUCUAUUUUAUACAGCAUCAUUAGAUGUGUUUUUGCUGUAAUACAGGGAAAAUGACCGCAUCCAGAUGUACGGGAUCAUCUUUGAACCAAAACCCAGUUGAAGAAUAACCCAUGGUUGCUAGAGAAAGUAUCAGAAAUCUGCUUAGAUGAUGGCCUAAAUAAACCCAAGGGCAGAACAUCGAGCCCCUGUUUGGUCCCCAUUCUCUUUCUCAUUCUUUUUCUCUUUCUUAUUCUCAAUCACACAAUCUUCUAUAAAAUAAUACCACACGCAAAUAAAAAACUUUUCAUUCUUUUUGAACCACACAUUUUUUAAAAAAAAUACUAUUCCAAACAUUAAAAUUUGGAAAGAAUGGGGGCCAAACGGAGGCCAAAUGAAAGAAUUUAAUGAUUUUUGACUGCUAGUAAUAGUUCUUCUGGUAGAUUGAACAUUAGAACAUGAACGUGCAUAACAGAUGUAGAUUGCAUAAUUCUUAUUGUCAUGGAAACUGCUAUGCUAUCUUGAUUGAAUGUAAAUGUUUAUACAAAAACAUGUUUGGAUUGAAACACACCUUUGGUAAUUAGUACUUUCUUUCUUUUCUCUGUUUGG